GAUGAACGCUAGCGGCAGGCUUAAUACAUGCAAGUCGAGGGGCAGCAGGACUGUAGCAAUACAGUUGCUGGCGACCGGCAACCGGGUGCGGAACACGUACGCAACCUACCCAAAACUGGGGGAUAGCCCGGGGAAACCCGGAUUAAUACCUCGUAACCUUUUUAAGUGGCAUCACUUGAUAAGUAUAGCUCCGGCGGUUUUGGAUGGGCGUGCGCCUGAUUAGGUAGUUGGUGCGGGUAACGGCCCACCAAGCCUGCGAUCAGUAACUGGUGUGAGAGCACGACCAGUCACACGGGCACUGAGACACGGGCCCGACUCCUACGGGAGGCAGCAGUAAGGAAUAUUGGUCAAUGGACGCAAGUCUGAACCAGCCAUGCCGCGUGAAGGAUGAAGGUCCUCUGGAUUGUAAACUUCUUUUAUGGGGGACGAAACCCGGAUAUUCUUAUCCGAUUGACGGUACCUCAGGAAUAAGCACCGGCUAACUCCGUG
This 489-nucleotide ribosomal RNA is filed under the name uncultured bacterium. RNAcentral's name for it is "partial 16S ribosomal RNA". It matches the Rfam family "Bacterial small subunit ribosomal RNA", at positions 28 to 507 of the family's 1533-position model. The record is from RNAcentral.